CAGGUGUCUGUGUAUCAGACUUAAUAGAGAAUCCGGUAUAAGCCGGAACGGUCCCGCCACUGUAAGGAAGAGCGAAGCACAAUUAUGUCACUGGGGAAGCAUCCCUGGGAAGGCGUGUGGAGCGAUGAGGCCAAGUCAGGAGAACUGCCUGUUUUA
RNAcentral lists this non-coding RNA (156 nucleotides) under uncultured Anaerovibrio sp. Lineage: Bacteria; Bacillati; Bacillota; Negativicutes; Selenomonadales; Selenomonadaceae. The record is from RNAcentral.